AACGCUGGCGGCGUGCCUAAUCCAUGCAAGUCGAGCGAACGGACGAGAAGCUUGCUUCUCUGAUGUUAGCGGCGGACGGGUGAGUAACACGUGGAUAACCUACCUAUAAGACUGGGAUAACUUCGGGAAACCGGAGCUAAUACCGGAUGAUAUUUUGAACCGCAUGGUUCAAAAGUGAAAGACGGUCUUGCUGUCACUUAUAGAUGGAUCCGCGCUGCAUUAGCUAGUUGGUAAGGUAACGGCUUACCAAGGCAACGAUGCAUAGCCGACCUGAGAGGGUGAUCGGCCACACUGGAACUGAGACACGGUCCAGACUCCUACGGGAGGCAGCAGUAGGGAAUCUUCCGCAAUGGGCGAAAGCCUGACGGAGCAACGCCGCGUGAGUGAUGAAGGUCUUCGGAUCGUAAAACUCUGUUAUUAGGGAAGAACAUAUGUGUAAGUAACUGUGCACAUCUUGACGGUACCUAAUCAGAAAGCCACGGCUAACUACGUG
RNAcentral lists this ribosomal RNA (493 nucleotides) under uncultured bacterium. RNAcentral's name for it is "partial 16S ribosomal RNA". It matches the Rfam family "Bacterial small subunit ribosomal RNA", at positions 32 to 507 of the family's 1533-position model. The record is from RNAcentral.